RNAcentral lists this long non-coding RNA (287 nucleotides) under Pectinophora gossypiella (pink bollworm). RNAcentral describes it as "uncharacterized LOC126370777". The record is from RNAcentral. Lineage: Eukaryota; Metazoa; Arthropoda; Insecta; Lepidoptera; Gelechiidae.
UGUUCAGAUUGUUUUAAGUGAUAAUUUAACAAUAUUUUUCCAAAUAAAUAGAAAGAAACUUUUAUUUAUAUCAAAUAAUUGAGUGUCUCGACUGUGUGACAUUAUGUCUUGUGUGGUAUGGGGCUGCAGCUCACAUUCAGGAAGAAAAGAAAAUAGCCAACAACUUCUGUCGUUUCAUCGAUAUUAAAUCCAAAAGUGUCGACUGGAUUUACAUGAAAAGUCAGUUCAAGAAGACGAGAUGAAAAAUUUAAAAGAAAAGCUGAACAAGUCCCGCCUCAAGAUCAAAC